RNAcentral lists this transfer RNA (71 nucleotides) under Tropidurus etheridgei. RNAcentral's name for it is "tRNA-Tyr". Lineage: Eukaryota; Metazoa; Chordata; Lepidosauria; Squamata; Tropiduridae. The record is from RNAcentral.
UGGUAAAAAGAGGGCUUAAACCCCUAUAAACGGAGCUACAAUCCGCCGCCUGCACCUUCGGCCACUUUACC